Molecule: long non-coding RNA, 15891 nt
Organism: Peromyscus californicus insignis
Lineage: Eukaryota; Metazoa; Chordata; Mammalia; Rodentia; Cricetidae
Exons: 2
Source: RefSeq, a predicted model, not a curated record
UAUUCCUGACAGCCUUGCCCAAUGGCUUUGGAUGCUGGCUUGAGGUCUUGAAGUCUUGGCUUUCAGAAAUAGUCAUGCAGAAAGGAGACUGUCAGAGGCAGAACACCUGCAGGCAGGCUGAGCAAUUGUGGUGAUGGACUAUCAGGGUUAGAAUGUGAAAUGAAAGGAUUUGAUGGUGAGCUUGCUCUUCUCAUUUCUACAGAGAUAUAAAGACAGAAGUAGAAGGCUCAGAAUUAAUGCCCUUAAUUCAGUUAAGGGCAGAGAGCCAGAGAUCUGUUCUGAAUGGCUGAAAAAGGAAAACUAACUUAAAGAACUUGAGAUCUGCUAAGACCCAAAUCAGACACAGAGAUCAAUUCCAUAUAGUCAGUUGAAUCCAUGCUUUUUCUGACAAACAAUAGUUUUACUAUGUUUAGAUGUUCUCUGCUCUUAAUGACCUCUUUUUUUAUGAUGCCAUUAGUUUAGUUGAUCAGGAGGAUGGAUAGCCUCUACCAGUUAACUUCCCAUGGCUGUGACAAAAUACUUAACCAACACAACUUGAAAGAUGAAAAAUUGCUAUUGGCUUAUGACUUGAUAGGUUUUCGCUAUGGUCAUUUGGAUGGGUUGUUCCAAGUCUGUGGCAAAGCUGUUCAUUAUGGCAGGAGUACAGGAAAGCUGCUCACUUGGCCGUGGCCAGGAAACAAGGAAAAUGAGGGCAAGGAGCUGGGUCCUGUCUUAGUUAUUUCUCUAUUGCUGAGAUAAGACAUUAUGGCUAAGGACACCUAUAAAAGAAAGAGUUGAAUUUGGGCUUACAGUUUCAGGGGGUUAAUUAGAGUCCAUAAUGGAGAAACAAAGGCAUGGUGGUAGUAACAGCAGAAAUUUUACACCAUGAUCUGUAAGUAAGAGUGAGAGAGACACUGGGAAUAAAGGUCUUUUUGAAACCUCAAAUCCCACCACCAGUGACACACCUCCUCCAACAAGGCCAUACCUCCUAAUCCUUCCCAAACAGUUCUAUUCACUGGCAAUCACAUAUUUAAACAGAGGAGCUUUUGGAGGACAUUCUCAUUCAAACCCCCAGUCUUAAUAGUCUUUUCAAGGGCACAUUUCCAAAUUACCUACUUCCUCUACCUAGGCCCCACCUCUAAAAAGUUCUGCCACCUUCCAAGUACACAGUCAUCUAUGAGCAAGUCUUGAACAUGCAGGUUUUCAUGAGACACUUAUGAUCUAUAACAUCCUUUUGGGCUGGUUGUUUUAUUAAAAUGGAAUCUAAAUUUUAGUGUGCAUAAAACAAAUGAUGUUUUAUUUUUGUUCAAUAUCUCAAAUGCUUAGAACUUUUCUUAUACAUAAUAAGUACUCAUGAAAAAAAGAUGUAGUGAGAGCAAGGCAGAGACAGAGAAGAGGUGAGGAGCAGCUAACAUCUAGAAAACAAAUUAUUACAAAAUCCAGUGUAUGAUUAACCCUUGUACUAAGACAGGAGUGACAAGAUGGUUAUAUUGGUUACCUUUUUGUUGACAAAAAAUCCUUCUUUUCUCAGAUUCUCAUGGUUUUUAUCAUGAAGUAUUGGACUUUGUUAGAGGCCUUUCCUACUUCCAUUGAGAUGAUCAUAUGAUUUUUAUUGUUUUUCCUAUGUUGGAUCACACUUUCAUUCCUAGAAUAAAGCCCAUCUAGUCAUUCUGAGUUAACUUUGUAUGUGUAGUUAACUUGGUGUGGUAGUUUGAAAGAAAAUGACCACCCCCAAAGGGAGUGACAUUAUUAGGAGGUAUGGCCUUAUUGGAGGAAGUGGGUCACUGUGGGGGUGAGCUUUGAGGUCUCCUAUGCUCAACCUAUUCCCAGUGUCACAGUUCACUUCCUGUUGCCUGUGGAUCAAAAUGUGGAAUUCUCAUCUUCUACAGCACCAUGUCUGCCUGCAUGCUGUAGGAUGCAGCAUGAUGAUAAUGGACUAACCCUCUGAAACUGUAAGCCACCCCAAUUAAAUGUUUUCCUUUAUAAGAGUUGCCAUGAUCAUGGUAUCUCUUCACAGCAGUAGAAAGCCUAACUAUGAUACUUUGGUUUGAGAGUAUUUUAUUAAGAAAUUUUUAGCCUAUGUUAAUAAGAAAGAUAAUCAGAUAAUUUUCUUUGUAAGGGUAUGUGCCCAUGUCUGGCUUUGUAAUACUUCCUUCAUAAAAAGAGUUUUGUAGCUAUCAUUCUUGGUUCUCUGUUGCUGUGAUAGAACACUGACCAACAGCAAGUUUGGGGCAUAAUUUUACUUUACACCUCCUCCAGGUAACAGUCCUUUACUGAGAGAAGUCAGGGCAGGAACUCAAGACAGAAAGCUGGAAACAGAAACCUUGAAGCAAUGCUACUUACUGGCUUGUUCACUUGCUCACUCAGCUAGCAUUCUCAUGUAGACCAGGCCCACCUGUCUAGGGAUGGUGUUGCCUACAGUAGACUGGGCCCUCCCAUAUUAUCACCUAUCAAGUCAGUCCUUCACAGACAUGGUCACAAGACAAUCUGACCUGGACAAUCCAUUAACAGAGACUCACUCAGAUGACUCUAGACUGUGUCUAGUUGACAGCUGAAGCUAACUAUGACUAUGACAGUAGCUUUCUUUCCUUUUCUGUUUUAGAUAAUUGUUUGGGAAAUAUUGGUAUUUGUUAUUCUUUUAAGGUAGGCAGAAUUCAGCAGUGAAUUCUUCAAGAUCUGAUCUUUCUUGUUUGAUUGAUUAGAAGACUUUAUUAUUGCUUUAAUGUCACUGUUUGAUAUUAGACUAUCAGGACAUUAACAAUUAUAGUUAUCAUUGAAUGGGUAUUAUUAAUUCUAUUUAUUUCUUUAGUUUUGUACUAUUCAGCACUUCCCCAAUUCUCACUGCAUAUUUAUAUUUAUAUUGAGGUUCAUUCUUUCCUGAGCCCAGGGUGUGUUUAUCUUUUUCUCAGUGUUUAGGGUCAUUUAAGCAUCUUCUACAAUGCCUGCUUAGUGGGAAUGAAUUUCUUUAGCUUGUACUUAUCAUUUCUCAGGUCAAUUAUGAAGAACAGUUUUGCUGUACAUAGUAAUCUAAGUUGACAACUAAUUUCCUUCCAGGGAUUGAAAUGCAUAAUCUCACCUCUUGGACUUGAGAGCUUGCCUUAAGAAACCCGUUUUUCUGAUAGGUUUGUCAUUGUAUGAGACUUCGUGUUUCUCUCUUACAACUUCAAUUUUACUCCCUUUUUUUUUUAACCACAGUAUGAAAUAUGGAGGUUUUUUUUUUCUUUUCUUUUCUGUCUUGAAUGUUUGAUGUUCUAAAUGCUUGGCAUCCAACAGUCAUCUCUUUCUCUAGUUUUGGGACUAUUUUCUGUGAAUUUCUUGAAUAUAGAUUUUGUGCCUUUAGCUUCUCUUUUUAUGACCACAGUGGAAAGAUUUGAUAGUUUUGUGUGUCCCACAAACUUCAUACGUUCUGUUCAUACGUUCUUAGUACUUGUCAUUGUCUGAAACUUCUGAUACUUUAGGUUGUCAUCAGGUCCAAUAGUCUGUCUCCUACUGAUCCUUUCUACCAGAGACAUUCCACUGGGUUUUCAUUUGUCUAGUUCAGCUUUUUGUUUCCAAACUUUCAUUUGAGUUUUUAAAUGCAUUUAUAUCUCUUUAUUGAAUUCAAAUUUAUUCAGAUCUUUUAUUGACUUAUUUCCCUCAGAUCAUUGAAUUCAUUUAUAACUUCUGUGUCCUUUUUAAAAUUGUCAUUGAACAUUUUAUAAUCAAUCUUUUAAAUUUCCUGUCAGGUAUUUCAUUCAAUUACCAUUCUUUGGAGUCCUUUACUGUGGAUUUAGUCAUUUUCAGAGGAGUCAAAUUCCUUUAAAUCUUCAUAUUUCUUGUGUUUUUGCUUCAGUACUUGAACAUCUGGGAUUAACUUGUUGAUUGAAUUUCAGAGGAAGUAAUUGCAGUGCUCAGAUGGGAUUAUUUGCAGUAGCUAUCCCUAAACCUUCUUCAAAAAAUCAUUUUUUUCCAAAACAUAAAAUUAUUGUACAAGUGAACAUACAUGGUUAAAAUGUCAUGUAAAUUAUCACUAGUCUGGUAACAUACUAUUUACAAGUUAAGUUAUAAUCCAUUAGUGGUCAGUAAGUUUACUGUGUUAUGCCUAGUAUUUUCAAAGUAAAUGAAAUAUGAUUUAAAAGUAUGACAAAGUUAAUGUGAAUCAUGCAUCUGAAGUAUAAAUAUUAUUUAAUAGACUGAUUUUUCAGAAGUGCAAAUGUGUAUACUAGAGUACUCUCUAAACAUACUCCCUAAUAUGGCCAGAAUUUUCAAAUAAAAAAAAAUAAAAACUUUUAUUUUGAUGUCUAGACAGCAGACUCCACAUUUUAACUUUAGUUGUUCCUUAUUAAUAACAUGAAGAUAACUAUAAGCCAAAAAGGGAAAGGUAGCGUCCUUUGUGUAGCACUUUCACAGAAUAUCCAGAAAAAAAAAAUAGUAGUUUGGAUAGGAGAGACAGCACAGUUUAUAAAGUGCUUGAGUUUGAUUUUCCGAAGCCAUGUAAACAAGAAAAGAAGAGCUAAGUGUGAUGACAUGCACUUAUUCCAGUGUUGGGGAGGCAGAGAUAGGCAAGAUAGGCAGACCCAUAGGGCUUUCCACCCAGCCAGCCUCAUCCACUCUGUAAGUUCUGGUUCAUGGCAAGCCCAGCUCAAAAAAAAAAGUUGUCAGCAUUUGAUGAAUGAGAAUGACACAUGAACUUGUCUUUGGGCCUCCAAGGACAUAUACACACACAUAUGUAUUUGCACCAAUUUGCAUCUGUACAUAUAAACAUGCAUACACACACGUACAAGAAUUGGUAUCAUAAUAAUGCGCAAAUUAGCAUAAUUAGAGUGAGUUGUUUAUUGGUCUCUUACACUAGCUUGCUGAUCUCUUGAAUAUAAUUAAGUAAGUUCUACAAAGCACUCUACAGAAUAUUAAUAAAAACAUUAACAGAAUGAUUUCUGCUACGGGAAAAGAUAGCCUUAUGUCUAUUUUUAACUCUGGCUAUGACUUGAACACAUCUACUCAAGUUUUGAGGGCUGCUAAUCAGAUAGCAUGAAGGGGGGCUUCAAAGAUAAAGGAGGACAUCCCCCUUGUAGGUAAGGCUGUGUGGCUUGCCCGGCUUCCAACGAGCUCUCUCUUGUCCAUCCUGCUCCUGCCAGCAUGCAGCAAGUAAGCCUUUAUUAGGCACCAGAUGUCACUUUGCUUCCAGGGCUUUGAGGGGAAAAAAAUCCUCAUGUUUGUGAGUUACCCACUCUGUGGGAUUCUAUUAUGGAACAUAAAAUGGAUUAAGACAACCUCAAAGUCAAGGCCACUGACAUGUCCAUAUGCAUUUCAACGUGCUUACUGGUUAGUUUUGGAAAGAAAAAAAAAGCUGAAGAUAGACUUUAUGAUGAGAAUAAAUUUCAUGUGCUUGAAAAGGGUAUCUGAGUGAAGUGUCUUCUCAUGGCUUAGCUGGAUAGCUGUUGAGCCUUACUUGCAGGAUCCGCUUGGGCACCAAGUCCAAUAACUUGUUAGAUUUUCUUUCUUUUGGCAGUAGAGAAAAGAAUUUUUACCUUUCAAAAUUAUAGUGUGCAUAAAAAAAUACUGAUGAAUAUUUGGGAGGAAAGUUAUACAGGCCAUUAAGAAUACAAGAGCAAAUAAAAUUAGCAAUAAAGAAAGAUAAAUAGGAAAACAUUGGUUCCAGAAAAAUAAACACAUGGUAUCAUCUUUGAUCCACUUUGUUAUUAGCUGGAAUUAAAGAACUGUGGUUGGCAAGUCUGUUUUGAAUACUGGCUUUUGGGAAAAGUCUUAAGAAUCGUUGCUUGCUUAAGGUCUUCUGACGAUGUUGAACAGGGUCUAGGCAUCAGAGGCUAGAGCUUGCCAUGGUGCUAACAUCAGCAGUACCUGCUGCUCUCUAUCAAGGCUGGAGGGCAGUGUUCCUCCAGCAGCUGAGAUCUUUGGACUGAGUCUUGGUGUCUGCACCGUAGGAUGUGGUGAUGAGAAUGUUCAUAUGUUCUAAGACUGCAUAUGUGCUUGAAUUCAUUACAGUGCUUGAUCCUAUCAACUUGCAUGGGGAAUUGAAGGUGAAAUCCUUAAGUACUUGGAGUUACCCACUAUUUAUAAGAUGGAAGCUGAUGAGUCCAGGUGAUUAUAUUGUUAAAAUCAUGACAUAACCAGCUUCCGGGGACUGGAAGCAUUACUCAUUCCAGUCUUAAAGUUUCAUCAAUUUUUUUCACUUUUAAUGAAGAUGGCAGAUAAAAUUUUUGUUAGUAAAAGCCUUUGAAAGGGGCUUUGAAAAUUUACCAGUAAGAGUUGCUGUGAAAUUUGUGUCCUGCCAUAGUGAGGUAUGUGUUCAAUUUCCCCAUACCAGGGACAAAAUAAACAAGACAACAACAAUCAAACAUUUUUUCCACUACCACAAGAGCCCUUUUUCUUAGCAAGAAAAUGUCUCAUUUAAUCCUGAGUAAACAAUGGCAAAAUAUAUUUAUUGUCCAAUUUUAGGGCAGCAAGGGUUGGAAGUGUCUAAAAGGACUUUGCAAUUUGAUGGUUUCCAUUCCCCUCUUUACAGUUUUGCCAGGAUUGUGCUGUUGGCAAGUGUAUCCUGGACAUGACCUUAGCAGUCCUCUUUGAGAUAGAUACAUAGCCAGUGAUGUUUCAACAGCAUGUUCCACUUAAGAAUGUGCCUGUGGAUAGCACACUGAAGCGUUUUGCUAACCCCAGAUUAGUUGGUCCAUGUACCAGUUCAUGAAGAGCACAGUUAUUUUUAAGUAAUGUAUUUUCUGAAUGCCCCCAUGGGUUUCUAUUUGUUUGUUUUUAAUGAGCGUGCGUGCGUGCGUGCGUGCGUGCGUGUGUGUGUGUGUGUGUGUGUGUGUGUGUCUGUGUGUGUGUGUGUGUGUCUGUGUGUGUGUGUGCCUGUGUGUGAGAGUUUGGAGGACAGAGGCCACAUCGGAAGUCUUCCCUUUAUCACGGUUUGUGGUAACAUAUUGUGCACCCCAAUAAAGCUUACCUGGGGAUCAGAAGACAGAGCCAGCCACUAAAUUAGACACAGAGGUCAGAGAGUGAUGGCACACACCCUUAAUCCUAUCACUCGGGAGGCAGAGAUCCAUCCAGAUCUCUGUGAGUUCAAGGCCACACUGGAAACAGAGCCAGGCAGUGGUGGCAUACACCUUUAAUCCUAGUACUUGGAAGCACACACACCUUUCAUCCCAGGAAGUGACGGAAGGGCAGAGAAAGGUAUGUAAAGCAUGAGGAAACAGGAACUCCAUCUCUUGCGGCUGAGGAUUUCAAAGAGGUAAGCUAGUGGCUGACUAUUCUGCUUCUCUGAUCUUUCAGCUUUCACCCCAAUAUCUGGCUCUGGGUUUUUGUUAUAAGGUUCGUGUUACAACUGUCCACCUUGUUCCUUUUAAACAGAGUCUCACUGAACCUGGAUCUCACUGUUUCAGCUAUACUGGCUGAUCAGCAAGCCCCAGGACCCACUUGUUCCUGCCCUUCCUCAUGACCCCCACACCCUCCCCAGUGCUGGUGUGACAGCCACACACCACUGCCCCCAACUAAUUAUUUUAUGUAGGUACUGGACAUCAGACUUCAGGUCUUCUCUCUCUGAGUCACCUCCCCAGUUCCUCCUGUUUUUUGUUUGUUUGUUUUUCUCAUGUAUUAAGGCCUAUCUCUGGCUACUAAUGAUAUCAUUUUUUAAAAAAAAUCUCUCCAAGGAUCUUCCUCUUGAAGUGCUAUGAGUGCAAUCAUUUCAGGGGAUGCCGCUUGACUAGCAUGGCAACAGUGAGAUCAUUAUGCUGGAAUUUGGGAUCAUUAGACUUUAAAUGAGGCUCCACUGUUAUGGUGUAAAGUUUAAUUUGUUUCCAUCUUUCAAGCAAGUUUCUGUCGAGAUCAGGAUGUGCAUUUGAUUGUAAAGCAUUAGCAAGGCAGGGGCCAGCCAACAAACACACUUGCUGUCUGCACAGACUGUUCGCAGCUUCACCCUUGUUACUUGGUGGUUUCAGCAGGGAUUAAUUUAGUGAUAAUUUUGGCUGGUUUUAGUUUUGGUUGAAGUUCAUAUUCUAAAAGCAAAUUCAGAUCAGUGAUUGAAAUAAAUAUAACCUGCUUAAUAUUUUGAUGUCCUAUCCUGUGUGUGUGUGUGUGUGUGUGUGUGUGUUGUGUGUAUGUGCUUUAUGUGUAUGUGUGCACAUGCCUUUGCCUGGGCAGGCUUAUUUAGAAGUGGAGGUUAAUGUCUGUUGUCUUCCUAAAUUGCUUUUUCUACCAUUUUUUUUUCUUGGAGACAGGGUCUCUCACUGAACCUAAAACUUUCCAUUUUGCCUAGAUUGGCUGGACAUCAAGUCCUCAGGAUCUGCCUGUCUCUGCCUUAAUCCCCAAGAUGUAGGUGCACACUUCCAUAUUAAGCUCUUAUGUAAGUGCCGAGUAUCAAACUCAGGUCCUCAAGCUUGUGCAGCAAGGACUUGGCCCACUGAGCCAUGUCCGCAACCCUAUAUUUCUAAUUCUUAGGCACAAACAAAAUUAAAUCAGAAUUGUCAAAGGAAGAAGUUUCAAAGGGCAUUUUUUUUUUUUUUUUGCAGAGCUCAAUUAAGAGAUUGCUUUCCUUUCUUGGGUAGAGAAAGGAGAGUUCUAGAAUAUUAGCAAUGGGUAGAUGAAAUAUUUGAAAAUACCUGGGUUUUUUAUUAUAAAACAUUUUAAGAUUCAUGUUACAACUGUCCAUCUUGUUCCUUUUAAACAGUCUCACUGAACCUGGAUCUCACUGUUUCAGCUAUAGUGGCUGAUCGGCAAGCCCCAGGACCCACCUGUUCCUGUCCUUCCUCAUGUCCCCCAUGCCCUGCCCAGUUGCCCCCAACUACUUUUUGUGUGGGUACUGGACAUCAGACUUCAGGUCUUCACUCUCUGAGUCACCUCCCCAGUUCCUCCUCCUGAACCCAGAUAUUCAGCAGGAAAUAGGGUAUUGCCCUAUUAGAGCUCACAGUCCACCUGUGAUGGGGAAUCAUAUGUGGAGACAAUAGAGUAUAUCAACUGACAGUUUUCCAAGCUCUACCACUGCAGCUUUUACAGAGGGUAGAUGAUACUGCCCAGUGGAUGGAAAUAAGCAGCAGGUUUCUCAUCCUCUGCUUGUGCUUAAAUUGUUAUCACGAUGCCUGCCCAGAAGAUUUAUAGCUAAAGAACCACAAUUGUAGCUGAAAGUUUUCCUGUGUCCCACCUGGUCCACAGUCCCGUAGCUGCUCCAUCCCAAAUAAACACACACAGGCUAAUAUUAUUUUUAAACUAUGGCCGUGACAGGCUUCUUGUUAUCUAGUUCUUAUAUUUUAAAUUAACCCAUUUCUAUAAAUCUAUACUUUGCCAUGAGGCUUGUGGCUUAUCAGUAUCUUUACAUCUUGCUUCUCAUGGCUGCAGCUGGCAGUGUCUCCCCUGCUCUGUCUUCCUCCUUCCUCUCUCUCUCUUUAGAAUGUCCCGCCUAACCUUAUUCUGCCUCACCAUUGGCCAAACAGCCUUAUUUAUCAACCAAUCAGAGCAACACAUUUUCACAGCAAACAGAAUGACAUCACCUAUCACAAAAUGUUUGUAAUUAGCAGGUGUAUCUGAGCUUGAUGGGUCUGUUCAUAGAAUAAUGUGCUAUGUAAUUCUCUUACAAUUUUUUCAUCACUGUGACCAAAUACUUGGGAGAAAAAGAACCUGUCUAGAAAAUUCAAUAUCUAUGGUUUUACGACUUUCAAGAAAUUACUAUGUGUGGAGGGGUGAGAUUGUUUCCAUUCUGCUUUUAAAUUAAGGAGUCAUCUUGUUUCUUUCAUCAUGUGAACCCAUGUGUUUCACAACACUGCAGAUUUACAGGCAGUUUCAACAGCACUGGUCUUAUCUGUCUUACAAAUGUGGAUGGUCACAGAAGAUUUUGAAUGCAUUAAGACUGAAACAAUGGAGCAUUGCAUAAGCAUCCCAGAAGAGGCAUGUGUUAAAGAGACUAAUCACAGAAGUGUGACUUAUAUUAAGCAGAACCAAAAGAGUGGUAUUUACACUCUGUUGCAAAGAGGCAUUCUCAGUGGUAGAUGUAAUGCUUGGAUAACAAGUUAAAGGGCAGCAUUUGCCGGCUCCUGGUGCAUGAGCAGUUUUGUUAGCACACACUUUUUCUUCUUUUAUCAAGUGAUGACAUUUCUCCAUGAUUAUUUUGUGAUGUAGUCAAGGGAAGUCAUCGAAUUUGUACAGAUUUAAAGUACUUAUACUUCCCAGACUCUGCUACAUCUGUGUUUCCCAGACUCCAUCCUGGUUUAUAAUUAAGCAAAGCCAAUGCAAAAAGAAGCUUGAGGGGCAACAUCAACACAAAGGAAAGCCUUUGGAGGCUGAGGAUGUCUUUUAUCUGAAAUCACGUUUCAUUUUAAUGGAAUUUCUUCUUUUGAUCUUGCUGUCUGCACUGGUGUUAGCAACCUUGAGUUUAUUUAUGGCCUGUGUCUGUGAUGUAUUUAUGUGCCGAAGCCUGGUACGAGGGUUCCCUAAAUAUGUUCUUGCUAAGGGUCAGCCCAGAGCAGAAUUGUGAAGGAUACAGCUAGUUUCCUUGCUCCAGUCUGGUUUAGCAAUCAUUGGGCCUCCAGAAAAGAGGAGCUGUUGGAUGUGGAUUAGUGAAUUUGUCUUUCCUAGUCAUGCUCAUAAGCUGGCAUUAUGAGCAUUCAAAUGGUCCAGUAAGGAGAUGGCUGGGGUUAAAAUGUAAGGACAUAGGAUUGCAGGGUUCUUCCAAAUGGCAAUUUUGGUUUUAGCUUUAGUCCUACCACCAAGGCUGACGCUCUUACUGAUGGAUGGAAGUCAUCAACACUGCAAGGGCCUCUGCCUUCUUGAGAUUCUGACAUCUUAGAAUCUAUACCUAGUAAUUAAAUUCAGUGAUUCCAUUAAAUUUUAACACUCAUGGGAAUUUCUUAAAUGAUACGUCUCCUAAAUGGGAAGACCACAUAUCUGAGCAGUUUAAACUGUGUUGAUAGUCACAUCUCCUUUUGAUCCAUGGAAAAUGAUAAAAAGGUAUUUGUUUGCGUUUCCAAAUUCCCUUUGCUCUGUUAAAACAACACUGCAGCCAAAAGACUCUAAUGAAAGCUUUGCUGUGACAAGCCUGAACAGUGAACCAAUGGGAACGAAAAACCCAGCUAAUGAGAAAAUGGUGUAAAGGCCAGAUUUCUGCCUUCCCAGAAAGCUUUUAAUUACAGAGAAAUCAACAGAUGUGCCAGGGGUAGCACAAGAGUGCUGGCCAUGCAAAAUAACACCUUGGAGUGGAAUGAAUUUGGAGUAAAUGGACUGGAAAUAUUGGCUUUCCAAGCAAUCAACAACACAUGAGAGAGAACACAGGGCCCUUAAUUUGGGUAAGUGUACUGAUCCCAAACUUCUCUAUAGUAUCUGAACACGUGUGUGUGUGUGUGUGUGUGUGUGUGUGUGUGUGUGUGUGUGUGUCUAUGUGUCUGUGUGUGAGUAUAUGUGGGGAUGCAUGUUUGUGUGCAUGUGUAUCUGUGUGUGAGUAUAUGUGUGUGUGUGUGUGCAUGCAUGUCAGUGUGUCUGUAUGUGAAUAUGCGUGGGGAUGCAUGUGUGUUGUACUUGUGUGUGAGAGAGUUUCUAUGUGUGAUUGCAUGUGUUUCUGGGAGGGAGGCUCUGUGUGUCUAUGUUCACAGACACUUCUGAUCCUUAAUUAACUAAAAAGGAAUAUUGGCCAUGAACUCCUAGUCAUGGUUUGAGAAAUCAAGGUGAUGUCUAGUCCAGAAACUCGUACAUUUUUUUCACAUAUGAAAGUAAAUGGUCCCUUGAAACUAUGAAUCAUUACAGGAAUACACUAUUCUUUAUUGUUUCAUUUUGUAUAUCUCACUUUACACAGAAUAUUUUCAACAAACAUUUUUUUCCAUUUCUCUAGAAAGUUUUUUUUUAAUCUUCCUAUUCCUUUCUCUGUGAAGAUUAUGGUUCAAGAACCUAAAAUAUACUUUUAUUAAUCAGCACAAGGGUACGUUUUAGUUAUCUGCAAUAUUGUUGUAUGGGCCAGUAGAGUCAACUAAGAGCCAGUUUCUAAUGUGCCCAGGACAGUAAAAUAAUGGAAAAUCCAAAGCAAGAGAGUGUGAUGAUUAGAAAAUAACCUAAUAUCCUUGGAAGCUGACUCUUACUUUUCUUCUUCUUUUAAGAAGUGUAAGGCAGUUGUGACUUAAGGGUGGUUCUCACUGCAAACUGACAGAGUCCCUUAUAGUGAGGUAAUGGGAUAACAUUUUAUUUCACCAAGAUGCAGCCCUCUAUGCCCACUCUCACGAUUUCCCCCAUGGUAACAAGGAAGAAUCCCUGAUUGUGAGGAAUGGCACAGCUCAGUCCCUUGGAGCUCUGCUCAGAAAGGAGGUUUGGGAAGCUUGACAGAAACUGGGAUUAGAGUCCCCCUUAAAUUCAAAGUUCAGCUUUGGUGUGUGAACUCUGCAAUUUGUCUUAACCUUUUUGGAGCCUUGAUUUUCUAAAUAAAGCAAUUCACUCGAGGUGACACUGUCAUUGCUAGUGGGCAGAGGCAUCCAUUGUGGAACUUCAGGCUAUCUGACUGUAAGCCUGUACUAAUUUAGCUUUUGAUUUAUUGGUGAAAAUGCAUGUCUCACAUAUAAAGAACUCGGCUGGCAUAGACACUGACUUCACCUGCUUCCUUCUGAAAUGUUUCUCAAAGGCUGGCUCCUUCUCAUGUCUUACUAAGACAGCUAUACCUGGAGUGCAUGGUUCUGACCUCCAGCACUUGUGGCUGUGUCCUCUCUGUACGUGACUUCUCUAUUUACGUGACCCAGGUUGUGCUGUUGCUGUAUGUUGGCUGAUGCAAGAAUCCAAGGAGGGAAAGAGUCUCCUGAAGUUAGGGUGUCAGAGCCUCAAAGAUGGUGGGCCUAUGAAAAACAGGACUGUGCCCUGAGACCUUCUGCUCUCUUCUAAUGUUAGCAUAAUUUUUUAAAUUAUUUAUUUAUUUAUUUAUUUAUUUAUUUAUUUAUUUAUUUAUUUAUUUAUUUAUUUAUUUUUAAUCAAUGAUUGAAACUUCUUCUAAAGACUUGGGUGCCUCCUCCUUUCCUCACCAUGAGAAAAUUCUCUGCUCUGCAUUGCUAUUGCUGGGUCACCUCAUCAGGUACUUGAUUCCUCUUGGAUAUCAACAGAAAGUAGUUUUGUAUUCAAUUGAUUCUACUAUUGGUGAAGGGAGUGGCUAUGCCCAGUUUUCCCUAUUAGAUACUCAACAGCUGGCACGGGGCUCAGUUCUUGGAGGCUACUCAGCUGAUGUUUACUUUGAGGAAAUAAGUCUUCUAGUUUGCUUUUAGUUGCUGUUAUAAACAUCAUAAGCAAAAGCAAUUUGAGUGGAAAGGGUUUAUUUCUGAUUACAAGUUACAGUCUGUCAGCCAAGGCCAGCACUCAAGGUAGGAACCUGGGGGCAGGAACUGAGGCAAGGACAUGGAGGAAAUCUGUUUACUAGUUUUCUCCUCUGGCUUGCUCAACAACCCUGCCUGUACAGCCCAGGCCCACCUGUCUAAGGAUGGCACACCCUCCCCCUGGAGUGGGCUAAGCCCCCCUACAUCAAUUAGCAGUUAAGAAGGUGCCUUACUGACUUGCCCAUAGGCAAAUCUGAGGGAGGCAAUUCAUUAGUUGAGGGUCCCUCUUCACAGGUGUUCCUAAUUGACAACUAAAGCUAAUGAUAUGACAAAUCUUUCUAUAACUGAAGGCUCAAGUAUCUGUAUUAGUCUUUCUAAAGUCAGUAACCUCAUGUGAUACACAACAUUUUUCUAGAUGCUUAGCGCAUUCAUAUAUAAAACUUUCUGGUGAAUUCACUAGAAAAUGUGUAUUUUUAGUCUUAGAAUGUUAGGUGAUAUUUAUGAUUUUUUUUCCCUAAGGACACGGGAAACACGUAUUUUCUAAAGUUUACUUUUAAACUUUAUAUAUUUUUAGAACAGCUCACAGGAGAAAAACCAUUAUAAAAAGUAUUAGAUUGGAGUUGAUGGAAAUGAAAGAAGGGAGUAGGAAAAUGUCUCCGUCUUUUAAAGGAAAAGGAUCCACAUAAAUUAUUUGAAAUUCUGCCUGGAAGAUUUGUCUCUCAUCCCCAGCCUGGAAAUUCGUUCAGCCCUUUAUCCUUCUUAUCAGAAUUCAGAAUGAUGAUAGAAAUCACUGCGUUGGUUCAUUUCCUCCCUAUUCCCAGCAGUCACAGUAUGGAACCUAUCAGUGUGUCCACCAACAGACAAAUGGGUAAAGAAAAUGCAGUUCAUACACACCAUGGAAAAAAGAAUGAAGUUAUGACAUUCCCAGGAAAAAUAGAUGGAACUAGCCAUCAUUUAUUAAGCAGAAUAAGCUAGACUCAAGAAAACAAAAAUAAUGCUUUAUUGUAUUUAUAGUGUGUGUGUGUGUGUGUGUGUGUGUGUGUGUGUGUGUAACAAAAGGAGGGUCACAUUGCAUUCAAGCCAAGAAGGAGAGAGAGAGAGAGAAAUAAUGCUGCUCAGCUUACAUCCUUCUUUUUAUUCAGACCUUGACACAGCCUAUGAAUGAUGUCUCCCACAUUCAGGAUAUCCAGCCUAUGAAUGAUGCCGCCCACAUUCAGGAUAGAAAGCAGUACACAGAGGGUUAGAGCUUCACGGUGAUUUGAAGAUAAAGACAUUUUCACUGAUAACAGAAUUAUUUGCCAAAAAAGGGUGCAAAGGAAAAUCUCUUUUCUUCCUUCACUCGUCAACCCUAACAGAAGAUGUUCAAACUCUUCAGGUUGUCUGAAUAUGGCUCAAAUGCUUGUAGAUUUGCCCUAUGGGAGCAUCAGCUGCAGAGUUGCCUUAUGGGAGUAUCAGCAGAACAUCACAGCAUGGGAAACACAGGAAGAUGUAAACACUAAGAUCACGGGAAAGGGGAGCCACACUUUCUACAGCAAAGGAUGCUAUCAGAAAUCAAAAAGUGACCUCCAGGGUUCCUAUUACAGAGCAAGAACCCAUGAAGAUGCAGACUCUAAGAUACACUCAGAACUCCACCAACACAGCAGGCAAAAACCAAGGACAAGAUUAAUGAUGGGCUAUGGACUUGGAUAAACCUUUCUCUCUGGACGUCAUGGAAAUAGUCAAAGAAACCUGAAAGCAUGCUUGCAUCACUAGUCAUCAGGGAGAUGCAAGUCGGCCCCACCUCACAUGGCUAUUGUGAAAAUAAAAGGUGAGUGUACAUGUUUGUGAGGAAGUGGAGAAACUGGAAUCCUAGCAUACUUGAUGAAAAUGUAAAACAAUUUAGCCAGUGUGAAAAACCAUGCAAGUUAUUAAAAUACUUUAAAGUACUAUGUAAAUCACCAAUCCUACUUUGGUGUUUUUAUCCUAUUGAUUCAAAUCAGGGCUUUGAAAGGAUGUUAGGGGGAAGGGAGACUCCUCUCAAGCUUGGUGACCUGAGUUGGAUCACUGGGACCUGCAUGGUAGAAGGAGAAAACUAACUCCGGCAAGUUGUCCUCUGGCUUCCUCAUGCAUACUUGGCACACUUGUGCCCCACACCCAAUGAAGAAAUGUAGUUUUAAAAUUACAAAAAGAAAGAAAAGAUGGUAAUAGUCUCCUGCUUGUUUAGGAUACUGAAGCAGCUGAGCCAUUGAGACAACCCGAGUGUCGAUGAACAGAUGGCUGGAGAAACCAAGGUGUAGCAAGUGUGUAUGAUGGAAUAGGAUUAAAAUUCAGAAGAACAAGUAAAUUCUUCAAUGUACAGCAACAUGAAUGAACUUUGUGGGAAUUAUGUUAAGUGAAAAAAAACCACCACCACCCCCCAAAAAAGAAGAGAGAUUUUCAAGAGCAGAAUAGAGGGGUGCUCGGGACUGUAGAAUGGAACAUUAGGGGGAUUCUCAACCAUCGCUAAGUUUUCAGUUGAGCAAGACAGAUUCAACUCUAGAGAUUUGCUGCACAAACUGUACAAAUAGUUAACAAUAAUAUUGUUAGCAUAAAAAGUCAUUAAGAGUCUAGAUCUCAUGUUGAAUGUUUUACCACAAUGAAAUAAAAUGGAAAAAUAAAAUGCUUGGUUUUGCCCUUA